RNAcentral lists this ribosomal RNA (254 nucleotides) under uncultured bacterium. Its description in RNAcentral is "partial 16S ribosomal RNA". It matches the Rfam family "Bacterial small subunit ribosomal RNA", at positions 524 to 776 of the family's 1533-position model. The record is from RNAcentral.
UACAGAGGUCUCAAGCGUUGUUCGGAUUCAUUGGGCGUAAAGGGCGCGUAGGCGGUCGUGACAAGUCACUUGUGAAAUCUCCGGGCUUAACUCGGAACGGUCAAGUGAUACUGUCGGACUAGAGUACAGAAGGGGCAACUGGAAUUCUCGGUGUAGCGGUGAAAUGCGUAGAUAUCGAGAGGAACACCUGCGGCGAGGGCGGGUUGCUGGGCUGAUACUGACGCUGAGGCGCGAAAGCCAGGGGAGCGAACGGG